AAAACAAAUAAUUAAAACUUUCAACAACGGAUCUCUUGGUUCUGGCAUCGAUGAAGAACGCAGCGAAAUGCGAUAAGUAAUGUGAAUUGC
RNAcentral lists this ribosomal RNA (90 nucleotides) under Calicium abietinum. RNAcentral's name for it is "5.8S ribosomal RNA". The stretch from base 16 to 90 matches the Rfam family "5.8S ribosomal RNA", at positions 1 to 75 of the family's 154-position model. Rfam says of the family: 5.8S ribosomal RNA (5.8S rRNA) is a component of the large subunit of the eukaryotic ribosome. It is transcribed by RNA polymerase I as part of the 45S precursor that also contains 18S and 28S rRNA. Functionally, it is thought that 5.8S rRNA may be involved in ribosome translocation. Lineage: Eukaryota; Fungi; Ascomycota; Lecanoromycetes; Caliciales; Caliciaceae. The record is from RNAcentral.